GUGGGUGUAGCUCAGUGGCAGAGCACUGGAUUGUGGCUCCGGGUGUCGCGGGUUCAAUUCCCGUCACUCACCCCA
Molecule: transfer RNA, 75 nt
Filed under: Deltaproteobacteria bacterium
Lineage: Bacteria; Pseudomonadati; Myxococcota; Myxococcia
Also listed under: 3 other names
Description: tRNA-His
Rfam family: tRNA
About the family: Transfer RNA (tRNA) molecules are approximately 80 nucleotides in length. Their secondary structure includes four short double-helical elements and three loops (D, anti-codon, and T loops). Further hydrogen bonds mediate the characteristic L-shaped molecular structure. tRNAs have two regions of fundamental functional importance: the anti-codon, which is responsible for specific mRNA codon recognition, and the 3' end, to which the tRNAs corresponding amino acid is attached (by aminoacyl-tRNA synthetases). tRNAs cope with the degeneracy of the genetic code in two manners: having more than one tRNA (with a specific anti-codon) for a particular amino acid; and 'wobble' base-pairing, i.e. permitting non-standard base-pairing at the 3rd anti-codon position.
Source: RNAcentral